RNAcentral lists this ribosomal RNA (223 nucleotides) under Salmonella enterica subsp. enterica serovar Agona. RNAcentral's name for it is "partial 23S ribosomal RNA". It matches the Rfam family "Bacterial large subunit ribosomal RNA", at positions 1127 to 1348 of the family's 2925-position model. The record is from RNAcentral. Lineage: Bacteria; Pseudomonadati; Pseudomonadota; Gammaproteobacteria; Enterobacterales; Enterobacteriaceae.
AGAAUGCGUAAUAGCUCACUGGUCGAGUCGGCCUGCGCGGAAGAUGUAACGGGGCUAAACCAUGCACCGAAGCUGCGGCAGCGACACUCAGGUGUUGUUGGGUAGGGGAGCGUUCUGUAAGCCUGCGAAGGUGGCCUGUGAGGGUUGCUGGAGGUAUCAGAAGUGCGAAUGCUGACAUAAGUAACGAUAAAGCGGGUGAAAAGCCCGCACGCCGGAAGACCAA